CUGGCUCAGGAUGAACGCUGGCGGCGUGCCUAACACAUGCAAGUCGAACGAAGCAAUUAAGAUGAAGUUUUCGGAUGGAAUCUUGAUUGACUGAGUGGCGGACGGGUGAGUAACGCGUGGAUAACCUGCCUCACACUGGGGGAUAACAGUUAGAAAUGACUGCUAAUACCGCAUA
RNAcentral lists this ribosomal RNA (175 nucleotides) under Enterocloster clostridioformis. RNAcentral's name for it is "[Clostridium] clostridioforme 16S rRNA. Bacterial SSU". It matches the Rfam family "Bacterial small subunit ribosomal RNA", at positions 19 to 175 of the family's 1533-position model. Lineage: Bacteria; Bacillati; Bacillota; Clostridia; Lachnospirales; Lachnospiraceae. The record is from RNAcentral.